UUCCUUGUGGACCUAAAACAAAAACCAUGUAUCUCAAGAAACACUUCUUUGCGAUAAGCCAAUAACACCAUAAAUCCACAUUCAUACUGCAACAAAAAACCAUGUUCAACACCAUUAACUACCCUUAUAACUUCAAAGAAAGUCAGAUGCUCUCAUCAUUGUUUUCUGCUCUGGAGACCAAAAAAAAUAAAAAUAAAAAUAAACAAAGACUUAGAUCUGCUACAACUCCGCUUAAGUAGUUUGCGCUUAGCCGGUCUCAAGCCCGGAU
RNAcentral lists this unclassified non-coding RNA (268 nucleotides) under Hevea brasiliensis (rubber tree). Lineage: Eukaryota; Viridiplantae; Streptophyta; Magnoliopsida; Malpighiales; Euphorbiaceae. The record is from RNAcentral.